UCACAGGGAUUAUCAAAAGAAUGAGAACUGGCAGAAUAACAGUGUCUCUUGCUGUCUUUCAGGAAUAGUUUUCAAAAUGAGUAGGAGGAGUAGAUGUCUGGAAAAAAUAUUGUCAAGGGAGUAGCGUGAGCUUAUGUCACCAAACAUCCUGUGUUGUUUUGGAAUUACAAGGAGUGCACAUCUAAUUGACAAAGAGCAACUGACUUCUUUCAGAGGGGGCAGAGACAGCAUGAAGGUGACAUACGUGUUCUCUAGCGGAAAGGAUGGAGCAUCUGAAGUUUACCUUAAAGAGAAGAUAAAAAGCAGUGAGGACACUGUUGAUGUCAGAGGUGCAUGAUGUCUUUCUUACCUUUGGAUUUGUUGUACCUGUGGCCAGCAGAAACAUACCUGCACAUUCAACAAGUUCUCCCCAAAAGAUUAGAGUUGCAAAGAAAUAGAAAGGGUCUUGAUGCUGUUUUCUAGCAGAUGGAGUUUGAGCAUCAAGAAUUUAUGAGUAACAGAAACUGUUUCUGCCUGCUUCAAUAGGAGAGCUGCACAAGGAAUGGUGAAGG
This 551-nucleotide long non-coding RNA is filed under the name Anser brachyrhynchus (Pink-footed goose). Its description in RNAcentral is "lncRNA (ENSABRG00000004506.1)". Lineage: Eukaryota; Metazoa; Chordata; Aves; Anseriformes; Anatidae. The record is from RNAcentral.